RNAcentral lists this long non-coding RNA (664 nucleotides) under Brassica napus (rape). Its description in RNAcentral is "long non-coding RNA (BNAP_LNC025332)". Lineage: Eukaryota; Viridiplantae; Streptophyta; Magnoliopsida; Brassicales; Brassicaceae. The record is from RNAcentral.
CCUUGGAGGUUUGAAAUGGUUUCCCUCAAGUAAGUCCGGUUUCAUGUUCCACGAACACAAGUCCUUAGGCAUUCACGAGUGCUUCCUCUUCUUGGAAACUGAUCAUGCUUAUCAUCUUCAUUCAAAACAACUAGAGAAACCACAUCAAAUCUGCGAAAGAAAUAAUCAAAGGGUUUCUCUAUCUUUAAGACAUCAAAAUCAGAAUCCAUGCCCUUAGGAUAAUCAUCAAGCACGUGGGCAAGUAUCAAGCAAGUAAAAUGAUUGCCAAAAAUUAGUUUAUCAAUCUCAAAAUCAGGCCACGGUGUGAAACUGUUAGGAAAACAAUGAGGCAAUGCCAAUUUCGAAAAAUUCUCAUCAUGAAUGGAAUCAAAUUGAUUAUUUGGCCUAAGAAAAUUUGGUUCAUGCCUUUUCCUAAACCAAAUCUCUUUCAAAGCACAGCUCAAUGGAAACAAUUCAUGAAAAGGUUUAAGUAAAAUGUUUUUCAACCAAGUAAAGAUUUGUUUUUACUUAGAAAUUCUCAGAUUCAAAACGUUUUCAUGAUGAGUAGAGACAAUCAACCCAUGAUCCUUACAGUGCUUUUGGUUUGGAUAGGAGGUUGACUGAGGAAACACCUUUGGUUCAUUGAGGAUCGGUUUUGGCUCAGGCCGCUUCUUUCUUGGACCUG